AUUGAACGCUGGCGGCAUGCUUUACACAUGCAAGUCGAACGGUAGCAGGCCGCAAGGUGCUGACGAGUGGCGAACGGGUGAGUAAUGCAUCGGAACGUGCCCAGUCGUGGGGGAUAACUACUCGAAAGAGUAGCUAAUACCGCAUACGAUCUAUGGAUGAAAGCGGGGGACCGUAAGGCCUCGCGCGAUUGGAGCGGCCGAUGUCAGAUUAGGUAGUUGGUGGGGUAAAGGCUCACCAAGCCAACGAUCUGUAGCUGGUCUGAGAGGACGACCAGCCACACUGGGACUGAGACACGGCCCAGACUCCUACGGGAGGCCGCAGUGGGGAAUUUUGGACGAUGGGCGCAAGCCUGAUCCAGCAAUGCCGCGUGCAGGAAGAAGGCCUUCGGGUUGUAAACUGCUUUUGUACGGAACGAAACGGCUCUGGUUAAUACCCGGGGCUAAUGACGGUACCGUAAGAAUAAGCACCGGCUAACUACGUG
RNAcentral lists this ribosomal RNA (482 nucleotides) under uncultured bacterium. RNAcentral describes it as "partial 16S ribosomal RNA". It matches the Rfam family "Bacterial small subunit ribosomal RNA", at positions 30 to 507 of the family's 1533-position model. The record is from RNAcentral.